This 440-nucleotide ribosomal RNA is filed under the name uncultured bacterium. Its description in RNAcentral is "partial 16S ribosomal RNA". It matches the Rfam family "Bacterial small subunit ribosomal RNA", at positions 338 to 795 of the family's 1533-position model. The record is from RNAcentral.
CCUACGGGGGGCAGCAGUAGGGAAUAUUGCUCAAUGGGGGAAACCCUGAAGCAGCAACGCCGCGUGGAGGAUGAAGGUUUUCGGAUUGUAAACUCCUUUUGUUAGAGAAGAUAAUGACGGUAUCUAACGAAUAAGCACCGGCUAACUCCGUGCCAGCAGCCGCGGUAAUACGGAGGGUGCAAGCGUUACUCGGAAUCACUGGGCGUAAAGAGUGCGUAGGCGGGGUAAUAAGUCAGAUGUGAAAUCCUGUAGCUUAACUACAGAACUGCAUUUGAAACUGUUACUCUGGAGUGUGGGAGAGGUAGGUGGAAUGCUUGGUGUAGGGGUAAAAUGCGUAGAGAUCAAGAGGAAUACUCAUUGCGAAGGCGACCUGCUGGAACAUUACUGACGCUGAUGCACGAAAGCGUGGGGAGCAAACAGGAUUAGAUACCCCAGUAGUC